CCCCACCCUGCCCACCUCCCUGUUUCAGCCCAGCCUGGGCUCAUUGACUUGGGUUUUGGUGGUGGUGUAACAGUGCUGCUCUCUUGCUCCCUCCAGCCCUCCUUGGUUGUGGGCUCAUGUCCUGGGUUGUCCCUGUGCCCAGGGGGGUGACAGAGAGGUGUGGGGCUGUCUCCUGCCUGCCCUGCUCAGGUCCUGGCUGUGCAAAGAUGUACUGCAGAGACUCUCCAUGGAAGCCUUUCAGACCAGACUGGCAUUAUAGAGAAGACUGUAUUUCCUCCCUGUUUACAUCACUAUAAGGUAGAGUUAACCCUCAGCUCACGAAGGCACAGCAGCAGUGGGACUGGCUGGGGUUUCCCUGUGCCUGCCACACUUUCAUCCCAGAGCUGCCGGCACAGGAGCAGAGAGCCACGGCUCCUACGAGAAGUGUUCCAUAGCUGCAUGCAGAAGAAGGUGGGAAUACACAGAGGAAAAACUGCUGUGCCCAGCUGGCAGCAUCCCUGGCAUGUGCUGGCAUCCCUGUGGGCUCAGGGAAGCGCCUGGGAGCCCCCAGCAGAUGGUAACUCUGGGGCCCUCAUGCCAAGGCACUAA
Molecule: long non-coding RNA, 588 nt
Filed under: Cyanistes caeruleus (blue tit)
Lineage: Eukaryota; Metazoa; Chordata; Aves; Passeriformes; Paridae
Description: lncRNA (ENSCCEG00000004671.1)
Source: RNAcentral